This 629-nucleotide long non-coding RNA is filed under the name Panax ginseng (ginseng). Its description in RNAcentral is "long non-coding RNA (PGIN_LNC006701)". The record is from RNAcentral. Lineage: Eukaryota; Viridiplantae; Streptophyta; Magnoliopsida; Apiales; Araliaceae.
CUGGUUUUAAAUUUUUGUUUCUAUAAGAUACUUAAGUCAGAUCUAUCUGCCAAUUAGGGUGCAAUUCAAAAUCUUCAUUACCGAUCUAGGGUUUUGAUUCAGAGUGGGGUACCGCCAGGUGAUGCUUUGAAGCUCAAAGGAAUAUGAUUCAGUGACAAUUCUCUCUGUCAAUUAACAACACAUCUCGCACAUAUUUGAUAAGAGAAUGAGUGUGUUUGAUUUACUCUGUCAUUGUGGAGAUAGCAAUGGAGGAUGGGAAGGCCGAGGAGAACAGGGAAGAGAUGCUAAGAGGGAGCUGGGUAAUUUUUUUCCAAUAACUCCAUUACGCAAGCAGACUUAAUAAAAAAAACCCCUAACUAAUGUUCAUCCGUUUUCCACCAUCGGUACCUACAUCAACAUCAUGAAGCCCAAUACCAAGAAAAAUGAAAAGGAAAUCUGCAUCAUAGAUCUGCGUGCAUCAUAGAUCUCACUACUAACCGUCUCUAGUUUGUACUCCUAAAGUCGGUCACGCAAAGAUAUGUUUCAUCUUCUUCUUUCUCUCACUGUUUAUUUGUUGUAUGAAGAAGGAAAUUGUUGAUUGAUUUAGGUCUUGGUAUGAAGAAAGAAGAUUGUGGUGGGAUGGAUGUGGG